GCGCUGGCCGUAGCGAGCUGGAUGAGCUUCAGGAGGAGGUAGUGAGGAGAGCGAGGCAGCAGGAGCAGCAGAGGAGGAAAGAGGCGGAGAGAGAAGCUGCCGUGGGAUUCAACCCCAGACCCUCCAAAUACAUGGACUUAGACCAGCUGCAACACCAGGUGAACAGCCUGGCCCGCUCCAAGUACUGCUGACGCCCAAUCAGGAGGGGGAAGAGGUCCGGCCAGCCUACCAGGAUGCAGCCCUGGGCCCUGGCCAGCCCCCUCUCUCCUACAGACCCUCCCCCAACCUCACCCCUCUCCACUCAUCCCUCCAACCCCCUCCCACCAACAACCCCGCAGCACAGGUUGAGGAGGGGAGAGACAGCCUUUUUAGCGGGGGAGAGGAGAGAGAACGGGUCAGGAGGGAGGAGGAUGUGGGGAUGAGUGAGAUGGGGGGACAGGGACUGAGGAAAGUUGAGGAAGGGGAGCGGUUGAGGAGGGGUGAGGAAAGACAGGGGGUGAGGCUGGAGGAGUUGUUACAGGUUGGGGGUGUGUGUGUGAGACCUCUAGGCAGACACCUGGCCAUCUCUCUUCCCUCUUUACCUCUCAGACUCUGGGAUAUAUCAGACACACACACUACCCCCUCACACACACAUUCACCCGCUGACCCCCAACACACACCACCCCCACCCCCACAUUCAAACACUGACUCCCCACACAUGUAUACAGACCCUGAGCCCCCACACAAACAGUCUGACCCUCCGCCCACCCCCCCCUGCAGUCAGCCCCACCCCUCCCCGCCCACCGCCUCUUCUGAUUGGCCCAAUCAAGUUUCCACCUUCAACACCAACACAAGUCAUUGGUCCUCCUGGAGCUUGGACCGCCCAGAUGCCGUGGUUACGCCAUAUGACACACCUCCAGAUCGCUGCCUCCCUAAUAAGGCACACCUCUCCCACAGAAAAUACAACUCCCAGCCUGCCCCUGCACAGCAUGAACCCUGUGACCCUGAGGAGGCAGAGUUAUCAGAGCUGGACUUCCUGUACCGGGCCAGUCUCCAGGCAGGAAGUAGAGGUGGCAGCCCGGCCGGGAGGCUGCAGUGUAGGGUAAGAGGGCCAGCCCGCUCCUUCACUCCCAACACCAGCAUGGAGGGGAGUGUGUACCAGACUGACAGCAGCAGUACAAUGGUCCGCAGUCUGAGCGGCACAGUCAUCAACCCGCGUCGCCACCGUCUCACCGCAGCACGCAGCUUUGAGAUGCCCAAUGGCACGGGGAGUUUCUGGUGUCUGACGGGGGUGAAGCUGACUUCAGACCACUUAAGACAGUGGUCUUCAGACCACUGACGUGCCUCCAUAUGCAUCUACGCUACAGGCACCUCCCAGGGCAGCUUGCUGGGGUCCUUACCCUCUACACCGCUACAGGAAACUCGUAGGGCAGCUCUCCGGGGUCCUAACACGCCACACCGCUACAAGCACAUCCCACAUUGGACCUCUAGGGUCCUAACCCUCCACAGUUCUACCGGCACCUCCCAGGGCAGCUCUAUGGGGUCCUUACCCUCCACACCACUACGGGGACCUCCCAGGGCAUCCUUCUAGGGUCCUAACCCUCCACAGUUCUACAGGCACCCCCCAGGGCAGCUCUAUGGGGUCCUUACCCUCCACACCGCUACGGGGACCUCCCAGGGCAGCCUUCUAGGGUCCUAACCCUCCACAGUUCUACAGGCACCUCCCAGGGCAGCUCUAUGGGGUCCUUACUCUCCACACAGCUACAGGGACCUCCCAGGGCAGCUCUUUGGAGUCCUAAUAGUCCACACCACUAAAGGCACCUCCCAGGACAGCUAUUUGCAGGUUCUCACCCUCGACACCGCUAAAGGCAUCUCCCAGGGCAGACAUCCGGGGUCCUAACUCUCCACACUGCUACAGGCAUCUUCCAAAGCAGCCCUGCACCUCACCCAUCGCCACGAUAGGGGGUUGGUCUAGGACCCCCCCCAACCCCAAACACACACCUCUCCCCACAUCCGUCCCUCAGUGGUCUACUAACCUCCCUCUACCCCCAUCUCACACCCUCCGCCCUUCUUCAACUAUUCAGUCUAUGCAGUCAUUCUUAGUCCCCCUCAGCAGGAAUUACUCUGAAACCCAAAACAACAAACUCACCUAAUUACACUUCUAGCUAGCUAGCUUGCGACCUGCUAGCCUGUUAGCCUCCUAAUAUAGUCCGACUCUGAACAUUAUCCUGCUAGCCUUCCCCUCUUUGGGUCUAUAAAGGAGGGAGUAGAUUAGCUAGCCUGGUUUAGCCUAUGAUCUCCCUGCUUUAUCUGCCCCAAUCAGAGGGGCUCUGGAACCUUUAGGUGACUGAAAGAUCCACAGGGGGAGGGGGUUACCGAUAAGCCACGGCUUCUUCCUUUUUCUUUAUGGGCAUUUCCUGUCUGAUGACAGCACAGCACACCUGGAUAUGUUGUUUCCAAGGGAACCCCAGGACUAGUGCGUACGUGCCUACAUAGCUACGUAUAGACUGAACUCUAAUAAUAACUAAAGUCAUGUACAGAAAAACGAUAUAUGAAACCUGUAUGUUAUUAAGACCUUAUGGAAUGUUCAUACUAAUAAUGAUAAUAAUGAAGAUAUUGAUACUUUAGUGGUGACUCCUGGUCCUGGAUUGAGUGACCUUCACAAGUGUCCAGCUGGAGGUCACCUGACUGACCGUUGUAAUGGCUAACGCUGCUCUCCCAUUUCUAUCGGGAGAAACUACCUUCCUUUUUUUUUUUUUUUUUACAGAUAACGGUAGCUAAAUGGAACAAACUUUUGCACACCUGAUGUAACGUGAGAGAGAGAGAGAGAGAGAGAGAGAGAGAGAGAGAGAGAGCUUUGAUAGAGCGAGGUUAAGGGAACUAAAUUGUAAUUUGGGAAGUAUGUUUGCUCAAGGGUACUUAGGAAAGUGUACUAGCUGAACGGUACUUGCUGAAGUGUACUUGAUGAAGUGUACUUGAUGAAGGGUAAAUGUAAUCUAAUUUAUUUGAGGCCUCAGGUUAACAUGAUUGGUUCUUAGUUACUGAGAUUCUCUAUCUUCUUCUGGACCUUUCAGUUCAGCUCUGACCCUGAUGUUACUCAGAUAUGAAUGGUGAAACACUACAUUAUAAAUAUACUUCAUAUAUAUAUAUAUAUAUAUAUAUGUACUGUAGGUAUUAGAGAUAUAUUUUAAGGCCAUGCAAUGAUAUAUUUGUAUCAUGGCAAUGUCUCUCAUCCUCCAGUUAUAACAGGGUUAUUUCUCUGACUUACCCCUAACUGAAUAACACUGACAUGUCUUGAAAAUGUUAUGAUAUCAUUUAACCUGCUGAACAUGUUAUGACAUAUGUACAUAUAAUAUGUAUGUAUAUACAUAAUAAGUACAUACAUGUAAUACAUUAUAACUAAUCCCUAUUUGGAGACCAAUGGCCAGUGCAGAGCGAGAUCUAGACAGAACUGAUAAAUGAUUGUUGUAUCUAAACCAAAGGUUGGCACUUAGACAAAGACACAGCUCUCUCUGUCUGUCUUUAACAUUGUGAUUUAAAAAAAAAAAAUGUAUUUAUUAAUUUGAUUAUUUUGUUGCUGUUGUUUGUGUUGUGGAUGUUGGAGAAUGUAGCCAACUGUAGCGCAUGAGUCUGCUAUGCAAAUCAACCUUCCCUCCUGACCCUUGACCUCUGACCUGACAGAUAGGAUGCAGGAAGUGGACACGCCCACGAACGGACGCUUUAUUUACGAAUUUAAGUCAAGAAGAUACGUGAUUAAAUGCUGCUGUUGAACUCUGUACUAAGUCAUAGGCUCGAUCCCAAAUGGCACCCGUCUCCCUAUGUACUACACACUACUUUUGGCCAGAGCCCUACAUAGGGAAUAGGGUGUGAUUUCCGAUUCGCACCAUAUACAUACAUAGUACUGAAGUGGUUCACUAUGUAGUAAGAAGGGAUAAUGUAUACCAGGGGUAUUCAACUCUUACCCUACGAGGUCCGGAGCCUGCUGGUUUUCUGUUCUAACUGAUAAUGAAUUGCACACACCUGGUGUCCCAGGUCUAAAUCAGUCUCUGAUUAGAGGGGAACAAUGAAAAGAAACACAGUUGAACUGGCUUCUAGGUCCAGAGUUGAGUUUGAGGGCUGUAUACUAUGCUAGGAACAGUCAAUGGAAAUUCAAUGCAAAGAGAGAGUGGAAGAAAGAGCGUGAUGACGAAUGAAAGAGAGUACGUAGAGAGGAGAUAAAAUGAUGUACUGUAUGUGUGUGAAAUGGAGAUGAUGUGAGGAUGAAAGAGGGCUAGGAGUCGUUUUUAGAGAGCGAGUUGUAUGUGUUUGUGUGCAUGUAGGGUGUUUGUGUGUGUUGGUACUGGGUAUCAUUGCUUGGCGAACGAGGGAAAGAGCGAUCCUGUAUUUUUGCAAUAAAGUUAUUACCACUGCUCUCUUAAUGGGGCGUAACCACUCAUCUGACUCUGUCUUCUCAU
This 4433-nucleotide long non-coding RNA is filed under the name Salmo trutta (river trout). RNAcentral describes it as "lncRNA (ENSSTUG00000039611.1)". The record is from RNAcentral. Lineage: Eukaryota; Metazoa; Chordata; Actinopteri; Salmoniformes; Salmonidae.